RNAcentral lists this ribosomal RNA (166 nucleotides) under Brachionus calyciflorus. RNAcentral describes it as "5.8S ribosomal RNA". It matches the Rfam family "5.8S ribosomal RNA". From Rfam's summary of the family: 5.8S ribosomal RNA (5.8S rRNA) is a component of the large subunit of the eukaryotic ribosome. It is transcribed by RNA polymerase I as part of the 45S precursor that also contains 18S and 28S rRNA. Lineage: Eukaryota; Metazoa; Rotifera; Eurotatoria; Ploima; Brachionidae. The record is from RNAcentral.
ACAACCCUAUGCGGUGGAUCACUUGGCUCGCGAGUCGAUGAAGAGCGCAGCAAAGUGCGUGAAUUAAUGUGAUUUGCAGGACACAUUGAUCAUCGAUAUCUUGAACGCAUAUUGCGGUUAUGGAUCGCUUCCAUGACCACGCCUGUCUGAGGGUCGGUAUUAAUAU